Molecule: small nucleolar RNA, 121 nt
Organism: Arabis alpina (gray rockcress)
Lineage: Eukaryota; Viridiplantae; Streptophyta; Magnoliopsida; Brassicales; Brassicaceae
Rfam family: Plant small nucleolar RNA R71
About the family: R71 is a member of the C/D box family of snoRNAs containing the C (UGAUGA) and D (CUGA) box motifs.
Source: Rfam
AAUCCAUGAUGUGGACAAUAUCUUUGAUACUCUUUAAAACGUUCCUAAGCCUUGUGAAAACUUUCAAGAGAUAUUUACUGAUUUCCCUCUAUCUUCUUCCUUAAAAAAAUAUAGUGAGAUU